This is a long non-coding RNA of Dermochelys coriacea (leatherback sea turtle), 1452 nucleotides long. RefSeq lists it as uncharacterized. Lineage: Eukaryota; Metazoa; Chordata; Testudines; Dermochelyidae. The record is from RefSeq and is a predicted model, not a curated record. The transcript has 3 exons.
CUGAGUGGAGAGGAACAUGCAUGUGUGUUGUAGGUCUCUGUGCAGAAGCUGCUGGAGCCCCAGCCAUACCAAGACCCUGUAGAGUACCCAGCUGUCCACUGAUGCCCACGAGGGUAGAUGUUUUAAACCUUCAGUGGGAUAUUGUCAAGGUUGGUACGUCUCAGAUAUGACCAACUGAACUUCUUCAUAAGCCUGUGUUGCAAGACCUAGUAAUUAUAGCUAUGGAAACAGCACAAGCUCUCUAAAGAGGAGGAGAGAUCACAAGCGGACUCUUCAGGGACAUUUAAUUUCUUCAGGCUGAAGAUACAGAAGAAAAUUACUUCAAAGGAGAAGAUAAGGCAAAUUUAGUUACUUAUGGGCCAAAAUCAGACCUGGAAUAAGGGAGCUGCAGCCACGGACACCCCACCUGAAUUUGGCCUUAUGUUUUUAGUUUUGCUUCCUUUUCUUUUUCUCACCCAAUUCUUUUCUCUUUGUCUCCCUUCACCUAUUUUCUCCUUCCCUUUCCUUUCUGUUUUAGGCUAAGGGGACCUGAGACUGCGGACCUAGUUUGUUUUGUGAAUACAGUUUUCUCCUGUCCCCAAGAAGGGAAGUGGAAGAUCAGCCCCCUAUAACUGAAGCAGAAAACUCCUGUUUUGGCCCCUUUUCUGGUAAUUGGUAGUCAGUUGCAGUGGAGCACCCUCUCUGUGCAAUGAGCAUUGUAGUGCUGUGCUGUUCAAGCUCAAAGUCCAGAGACAAUGAACACGUUAGCAGCUGAGCAUAAGCAUGUUUGUUUCCAGUUUGUGAGCCAGGCUUGGGCUAUGCCCAAUUACUUUUUUAGUGGGCCAUUUUGCUGCGUGGCUCAGUCAAACAAAACAAAGCUCUGUUUAAGGUUUGAUUGCUGCUGUAAAUCCAGGAGGUCUGCAAUAAAAACACAAGAUAAACCAGGUUAUUUUCUUCUUUGGGACACUGUCCACAGAAGUAUAAUCCUGCUGGGUGAAGAUCUAACCCCCAGCAACCCAUUUCUUAAUAGCAUAAUGUUAAUAAAACCAAAAUGAGAGAGAGCUAUUUCUGAGACCUCAGACUUUAAAGAGCUAAUUCAUGCACCUCACGUUUAAAUGUCUGUCUAGUGAUCAUUUUACAAUGAUGGAUGUGGUGGUUGCUUUUUCCUAGAUAACUCUGGGGCUUCUGUGACUCGCAUUUGCAGCCCGCACACAAUCCUUUGCCAGUUUCACUUGUGGAUUUAAUCUCUCCUCCACAACAGGGCUUCCCUAGCCCCUUCUGUGGGGAAGAUGCUUUAGUUGGAUUUCUUCAUGCAUGACUUUCUGCCCCACACCCUUCACUAUCACUAUACCCACAUAUGAGGCAUGUUUCUGCCCAACAGAAUGUUAUGUUUCUAUCAAAAGUUUCCUGGGGCCCUGUAUUGGUCACAUCAGUUCUUCUCUUCUAUUCCACAAACUAUAAACAUAGGCAGAA